Molecule: long non-coding RNA, 267 nt
Filed under: Elaeis guineensis (African oil palm)
Lineage: Eukaryota; Viridiplantae; Streptophyta; Magnoliopsida; Arecales; Arecaceae
Description: long non-coding RNA (EGUI_LNC013180)
Source: RNAcentral
UCAUCUGAUCAAAGGAAAAGAUGGUACCCGGCUUCAGUGUCGAGUACCAAUUUCUCGCUGCUCCCUUCAAGGUGGAUGGAAAAGCUUGGCACAGGAUGGCGUCGGGCGCGCCAUGAAGCAGCAUCAUUGUCCGGAAGGCCUCCAGGUGGUCAACUGGGUCCGAAGUCCCGUCGUAGCUUUCAAACUGAGGAAGCUUGAAGUUCGGCGGGAUCGAUUCCUGCAUGAUCAUUUGAGAAAAGGGAGGGUCAGUACAAAUAUCCUCACCAU